This 482-nucleotide ribosomal RNA is filed under the name uncultured bacterium. RNAcentral describes it as "partial 16S ribosomal RNA". It matches the Rfam family "Bacterial small subunit ribosomal RNA", at positions 30 to 507 of the family's 1533-position model. The record is from RNAcentral.
AUUGAACGCUGGCGGCAUGCCUUACACAUGCAAGUCGAACGGUAACAGGUCUUCGGAUGCUGACGAGUGGCGAACGGGUGCGUAAUACAUCGGAACGUGCCCGAUCGUGGGGGAUAACGAAGCGAAAGCUUUGCUAAUACCGCAUACGAUCUACGGAUGAAAGCGGGGGAUCUUCGGACCUCGCGCGGACGGAGCGGCCGAUGGCAGAUUAGGUAGUUGGUGGGAUAAAAGCUUACCAAGCCGACGAUCUGUAGCUGGUCUGAGAGGAUGAUCAGCCACACUGGGACUGAGACACGGCCCAGACUCCUACGGGAGGCAGCAGUGGGGAAUUUUGGACAAUGGGCGCAAGCCUGAUCCAGCCAUGCCGCGUGCAGGAUGAAGGCCUUCGGGUUGUAAACUGCUUUUGUACGGAACGAAAAGGUGCCUUCUAAUAAAGGGCGCUCAUGACGGUACCGGAAGAAUAAGCACCGGCUAACUACGUG